Molecule: transfer RNA, 76 nt
Filed under: Alphaproteobacteria bacterium
Lineage: Bacteria; Pseudomonadati; Pseudomonadota; Alphaproteobacteria
Also listed under: 1 other name
Description: tRNA-Lys
Rfam family: tRNA
About the family: Transfer RNA (tRNA) molecules are approximately 80 nucleotides in length.
Source: RNAcentral
GGGCCCUUAGCUCAGUUGGUAGAGCAGCUGACUUUUAAUCAGCUUGUCAUAGGUUCGAUCCCUAUAGGGCUCACCA